RNAcentral lists this ribosomal RNA (1082 nucleotides) under Latilactobacillus sakei. Its description in RNAcentral is "bacterial SSU rRNA". It matches the Rfam family "Bacterial small subunit ribosomal RNA", at positions 402 to 1471 of the family's 1533-position model. Lineage: Bacteria; Bacillati; Bacillota; Bacilli; Lactobacillales; Lactobacillaceae. The record is from RNAcentral.
UGAGUGAAGAAGGUUUUCGGAUCGUAAAACUCUGUUGUUGGAGAAGAAUGUAUCUGAUAGUAACUGAUCAGGUAGUGACGGUAUCCAACCAGAAAGCCACGGCUAACUACGUGCCAGCAGCCGCGGUAAUACGUAGGUGGCAAGCGUUGUCCGGAUUUAUUGGGCGUAAAGCGAGCGCAGGCGGUUUCUUAAGUCUGAUGUGAAAGCCUUCGGCUCAACCGAAGAAGUGCAUCGGAAACUGGGAAACUUGAGUGCAGAAGAGGACAGUGGAACUCCAUGUGUAGCGGUGAAAUGCGUAGAUAUAUGGAAGAACACCAGUGGCGAAGGCGGCUGUCUGGUCUGUAACUGACGCUGAGGCUCGAAAGCAUGGGUAGCAAACAGGAUUAGAUACCCUGGUAGUCCAUGCCGUAAACGAUGAGUGCUAGGUGUUGGAGGGUUUCCGCCCUUCAGUGCCGCAGCUAACGCAUUAAGCACUCCGCCUGGGGAGUACGACCGCAAGGUUGAAACUCAAAGGAAUUGACGGGGGCCCGCACAAGCGGUGGAGCAUGUGGUUUAAUUCGAAGCAACGCGAAGAACCUUACCAGGUCUUGACAUCCUUUGACCACUCUAGAGAUAGAGCUUUCCCUUCGGGGACAAAGUGACAGGUGGUGCAUGGUUGUCGUCAGCUCGUGUCGUGAGAUGUUGGGUUAAGUCCCGCAACGAGCGCAACCCUUAUUACUAGUUGCCAGCAUUUAGUUGGGCACUCUAGUGAGACUGCCGGUGACAAACCGGAGGAAGGUGGGGACGACGUCAAAUCAUCAUGCCCCUUAUGACCUGGGCUACACACGUGCUACAAUGGAUGGUACAACGAGUUGCGAGACCGCGAGGUUUAGCUAAUCUCUUAAAACCAUUCUCAGUUCGGAUUGUAGGCUGCAACUCGCCUACAUGAAGCCGGAAUCGCUAGUAAUCGCGGAUCAGCAUGCCGCGGUGAAUACGUUCCCGGGCCUUGUACACACCGCCCGUCACACCAUGAGAGUUGGAGACACUCAACGCCGGCGAGGUAGCCGUUACAAGAGCACAGCUAGCAGAGAGAGUUGGUCCGA